AGGAAAAUUAUAGUUAGAAGCUUCUCUCUUGCGAGGAAUAUAUAUGAAGGAGGCCAUCAAAUGAAUCCAUCUAAAGAAUCUGACUUAGAUGCUGGAGCAGAGUUCCUAGAGGUAUAUGGAUAGGGAAUUUAAUUUGGAUUUUACUAACUAUAAUUUUAAAAGAAUCCAUAGUAUAAAUAUGUUGACUACCCAUAUUUUAUAAAACGAAUGACAAUUAAAAAACAUUUUAAUGAAAUAAAACAAAAGAAGAAGAAAACAAUUACUAGACACUAGAAAUUUGACCUUCUAGUCAUCUGUAAUUUUUAAGCAAUUCACGCGUAGCUUGAUUACUCUAUAAUAUCAUGACAGAGAAUAGUUUAGUGACUAUACUGAUAUAGCGGGUAAACACAAUUAGUUUAAUGUGAUAAAAUAUAAUUUUAUAAUAUUACUGUUACAGUAAAAAUAUUUAGUGACUUUUAACACAAAAAAAUAAAUUUGUUAUUAUAGUGAGCAAAAAUCAGUGAUCUAUAGUUCUAUACGUGAAACUAAUCAUACUUAUAUAGCCAAAAUACCUUGAAUGCAUGUAUACUUAGUUGUUGGUGAUCAUGUAAUGUUGCAGCAUGGGCGAAGAUAGAAGCCUAAAUAUGAAUUCUGUUUCAGAAACAUAUAUUCAAAUAGUAUAUUUUGUGUUAAGAAAUUCAUUAAAUACGUAUAUAUAUUAAAUUUAAAAUAUACUUAUUAAUACUUAAAGUUGUAAUUCAAAACCUAUAAAAUUAAAAUACUAACUCCAUUAGUGUAUUGCAGUCAAAUACAGCAUUGAGUAUUCAACAAGAGGAAAGGUUAAUUCAGAUGGGAGCCACUGUAAGAAAUGGAUCUUCCUACUUAGAGAGACUGAAGAUGAAUGAGGAGAGAGAGG
This 895-nucleotide long non-coding RNA is filed under the name Nicotiana tabacum (common tobacco). Its description in RNAcentral is "long non-coding RNA (NTAB_LNC010341)". Lineage: Eukaryota; Viridiplantae; Streptophyta; Magnoliopsida; Solanales; Solanaceae. The record is from RNAcentral.